This 506-nucleotide long non-coding RNA is filed under the name Gallus gallus (chicken). The record is from RNAcentral. Lineage: Eukaryota; Metazoa; Chordata; Aves; Galliformes; Phasianidae.
CAGACACAGAGACCUACACAAGGGUCAAUAUUCGCGCUGCCUUCCACUGAGCAGUUGCAGGGCAGGCAGUCAGGAUAUCCCGUAUAACCCAAGGCACAUCUACUGCAGUGCUCUCCUGCAUAGCCGGUCUUGCAGUGACAGAAACCAGGUAACAUGUCUCCUUCUGCAUGUUUUUCGUCUUUGACACAAGUUUCAUGUAAAGACCCAUUUGGAUCACAGGAACAAGGCUGGCAUGGAUCUGGGCUAUCUGGCAAUACCCCUUUAGGUCUGAAGUAGCCAUCAACACAGGUCUCACAGUUUAUGCCAUCAGUGUGGCUUGUACAAUUAACACACACUCCACCCCCGAUGUAUUCUCCAAAAAUAUUCAAACUCUGAUUUCUGUCUGCCACAUUCUGAUCGUAGUAACAUUCCUCGGUCUUCCCAUGACAGUUGCAUGGUUCACAUUGGUGCUUAACCAGGAAAGUCCCAGCAUGCCAAGGUUUUUGAUUGAAACCAGGACAACACCG